CCCCAAAAAGCAAAUCAUCCUUGUUAUAACAUAACUUCCAUAGUACCAAUACAAUUUACACCAUGUAUUGCUUGCUUCAGUAAUCCAAAAAAGGAACCAAGCUUUACCAUAACAGAGCACCAAAAGUAUUCAAGCUAUACCAUUGCUCAAGCUACACCAAAUCAGAAGCUAUACCAAAAGAUUACAAAAUUUCAUCCAAAUAACCAGAAGAAGCUAUACCAAAACAUAGCUAUACAAAAUAGAGUCUAAAUAAUGUUCCCAUUAAACUACUAGUUAAAUAAAAUAACCUAAAUGCUAUUGUGUGGUAGUCCUUCCAACCUUCUUCCUUGGUGCUUUAAAUGGUUUGCAUGUUGAAUUCUGUGAAGUUUGUUGACUUGCUUGCCUUUUCCUUGUAUUCACCUGGGUUGGUGGUGUGUUGGCUUGUUUGGGUGUUAAUCAAAACAACACACACACGCAAGUGCACGUGGUCCACAAGUAA
RNAcentral lists this long non-coding RNA (478 nucleotides) under Panax ginseng (ginseng). RNAcentral describes it as "long non-coding RNA (PGIN_LNC015122)". Lineage: Eukaryota; Viridiplantae; Streptophyta; Magnoliopsida; Apiales; Araliaceae. The record is from RNAcentral.